UUCUUGAAAACCAAUCUCAUAAAUCUACCAGUACGGGCCCUUGUAUUCCAUCUUCAAUAUAUCAACUCCGUGAUUGUAGAUGUUGGACUUCUUGUUUACUCCUUAAAUUACAAGGAGAAUGAUAAGGAAGAUGAAACUUUGGGGGAAGCGAAGAAUGAUAAGGAAGAUGAAACUUUGGGGGAAGCGAACCAAGUACUAGUUCUUGAUUUCCCAGGCAGAAUUCAAAGUAUGCAAGCAAUGAUCUACCUCAUCAGUAGAAAGCUAUUUCUCUUUCAGUAUGGGAUUGAUGAACAGGGAACU
RNAcentral lists this long non-coding RNA (300 nucleotides) under Capsicum annuum. Its description in RNAcentral is "long non-coding RNA (CANN_LNC016398)". The record is from RNAcentral. Lineage: Eukaryota; Viridiplantae; Streptophyta; Magnoliopsida; Solanales; Solanaceae.